UGGGGAAUUUUGUGCAAUGGGCGAAAGCCUGACACAGCGACACCGCGUGAGCGAAGAAGCCCUUUGGGGUGUAAAGCUCUGUCGGCUGGAACGAAAAAAAUGACGGUACCAGCAAAGGAAGCAUCGGCUAACUACGUGCCAGCAGCCGCGGUAAGACGUAGGAUGCAAGCGUUGUCCGGAUUUAUUGGGCGUAAAGAGUUCGUAGGUGGUUUGUUAAGUCUGAUGUCAAAUACCGAGGCUCAACCUCGGACCUGCAUUGGAUACUGGCAGACUGGAGUGCAGUAGAGGCGAGUGGAAUUCCCAGUGUAGCGGUGAAAUGCGUAGAUAUUGGGAAGAACACCAGUGGCGUAAGCGACUCGCUGGGCUGCAACUGACGCUGAGGAACGAAAGCCAGGGGAGCGAAUGGGAUUAGAUACCCCCGUAGUCC
Molecule: ribosomal RNA, 427 nt
Filed under: uncultured bacterium
Lineage: Bacteria
Description: bacterial SSU rRNA
Rfam family: Bacterial small subunit ribosomal RNA
Source: RNAcentral